CAGGAGUGGGUGAGGGAUAAGACUACACAUAAGGUGGAGUUCAUACACAUGAGGGAUAAGACUACACAUAAAGUAGAGUUCAUACUGCUCACAUGACAGGUGCACCAAAAUCUCAGAAAUCACCACUGAAGAACUUAUUCAUGUAACCAAAAACCACCUGUUCCCCAAAAACUAUUGAAAUAAAAAAAGAACCUCAUGAAUAUUUUUUAAAAGCCUAUGGGAAAAAAAUUACAAUCUAAGUUAUGACUAUUACCACCCUUUCACCAUUUCUGAAAGCUCAGCUGAUUCUAUAUGAACUUCUACAACAUCACUACCCAGUAGAACUUUGUAUUACGCAAACCAAUUAUUACUAGGCCGCUCUCCCCAUAACUCAAUUCUGCCUAUGGACUCACUUGGAGUGGAGUGGAACAGUUGAUUAAACUGCUUAUAGGAUUUUCUCAGAUGUUCAUAUAUGUAAUUCACACACUCAAAACUCUGAACAAGUAAUACCUUCCUAUGUACAAUUAACUAUAUUUGUAUUUUUGGAUUGGCAGGCAAAUGAAUAAAAGAACAUCUUUUAUUUACCCGUA
Molecule: long non-coding RNA, 569 nt
Filed under: Homo sapiens (human)
Lineage: Eukaryota; Metazoa; Chordata; Mammalia; Primates; Hominidae
Description: HSALNT0032358
Source: RNAcentral